CGUAGGGGGCAAGCGUUGUCCGGAUUUAUUGGGCGUAAAGAGCGUGUAGGCGGCCAGACAGGUCAGCUGUGAAAACUCGAGGCUCAACCUCGAGACGUCGGUUGAAACCGUCUGGCUAGAGUCCGGAAGAGGAGAGUGGAAUUCCCGGUGUAGCGGUGAAAUGCGCAGAUAUCGGGAAGAACACCCGUGGCGAAGGCGGCUCUCUGGGACGGUACUGACGCUGAGACGCGAAAGCGUGGGGAGCGAACAGG
RNAcentral lists this ribosomal RNA (251 nucleotides) under uncultured bacterium. Its description in RNAcentral is "partial 16S ribosomal RNA". It matches the Rfam family "Bacterial small subunit ribosomal RNA", at positions 526 to 776 of the family's 1533-position model. The record is from RNAcentral.